CCUCACAAAAUAAGAUUUUCCAUGAUGAGAAGAAUCAAAACAACUAGUACAAGCUAGUCCUUUGCUACAUUUUUAGUGCAUCUCAUGCCAUUCAAGCUCCUAUUACUUGGUUAAUCCAUUCCAACAUCAAUUAUAGUAGGCUAAUACACAAUGAAAACCAUCUACACACUUCAGAAGUAGAAAACAAAUAGAUCCCAAAUUACAAUCCAAGGUUAAGGACCGAUGGAGAAAGAGCGAUAAACUCCUAGAACCUUUCAGAUGGGUACCUGAUAGGUUUUAGAUCAGUAAACUCACAAGAACAAAGUAUAAUAGAGAAAGUCUGCAACUUUAUUGAUUAUUGAUAAGAAAAGAACAACUUUGAGAGACUUACGGUUCUCUCCCACCUCCUUACAAAGUUCACCAAAACCUUGAUAGUGAUUCCAAAAC
This 426-nucleotide long non-coding RNA is filed under the name Capsella rubella. RNAcentral describes it as "long non-coding RNA (CRUB_LNC002504)". The record is from RNAcentral. Lineage: Eukaryota; Viridiplantae; Streptophyta; Magnoliopsida; Brassicales; Brassicaceae.